Molecule: ribosomal RNA, 429 nt
Filed under: Actinomycetes bacterium
Lineage: Bacteria; Bacillati; Actinomycetota; Actinomycetes
Description: Actinobacteria bacterium partial 16S ribosomal RNA
Rfam family: Bacterial small subunit ribosomal RNA
Source: RNAcentral
UAGGGAAUCUUCCGCAAUGGGCGAAAGCCUGACGGAGCAACGCCGCGUGAGUGAUGAAGGUCUUCGGAUCGUAAAACUCUGUUAUUAGGGAAGAACAAAUGUGUAAGUAACUAUGCACGUCUUGACGGUACCUAAUCAGAAAGCCACGGCUAACUACGUGCCAGCAGCCGCGGUAAUACGUAGGUGGCAAGCGUUAUCCGGAAUUAUUGGGCGUAAAGCGCGCGUAGGCGGUUUUUUAAGACUGAUGUGAAAGCCCACGGCUCAACCGUGGAGGGUCAUUGGAAACUGGAAAACUUGAGUGCAGAAGAGGAAAGUGGAAUUCCAUGUGUAGCGGUGAAAUGCGCAGAGAUAUGGAGGAAUACAAGUGGCGAAGGCGACUUUCUGGUCUGUAACUGACGCUGAUGUGCGAAAGCGUGGGGAUCAAACAGG